This 89-nucleotide transfer RNA is filed under the name Sphaerisporangium krabiense. Its description in RNAcentral is "tRNA-Cys". Lineage: Bacteria; Bacillati; Actinomycetota; Actinomycetes; Streptosporangiales; Streptosporangiaceae. The record is from RNAcentral.
AUCCGGCUGGCCCGCACGCUUGCCGCGCUGCAGCCGCGGGAGCCGGAGGUGCACGGCCUGCUGGCGUUGUUCGAGCUGACGGCCGCGCG